This 1000-nucleotide long non-coding RNA is filed under the name Helianthus annuus (common sunflower). RNAcentral describes it as "hypothetical non coding rna". Lineage: Eukaryota; Viridiplantae; Streptophyta; Magnoliopsida; Asterales; Asteraceae. The record is from RNAcentral.
UUCUUCACACACGAUUUGGGGUUUUAGGUCUCAAUCCAUUCCAGCCUGUAUAACUUCUUCCCCAACCCUUUCAUCGCUUCUUAGGAUGAGGGAACUCAUGGAAAAGGGUACAGAGCAUCUGGGUUUUUUAAGCUUUUGAUGCAAAGCUUUAGAAUCAAGUUUCAAAGAAGGCGAUUUCAUUUGAAAAACUUUAGGCUACGAGUUCAUUUUUUUUGAUAUGAUUUGUACGGUUAAUUAUGUGGUUUGAAAUUCAAACAAGCCCAUAUGGAUAAGGGGCUGGAUCACACAUGUUAGUGUUAAAUGUGGCUCAGUGGCUAUGGUGUUGACGAGGCUGUUUAGAAGUAUAGAUGCUCAAGGGCUCUAAGAAAGUGGAUGCAUGCUUAAAAGAUUAUGACGUGAAUGGGCUGCACCGUUGACCUUUCAUUAAGAAUUUUUAAUCUCAUCAUUGUCAUAUCCAAAACGCAAGGAGAUUAUGAUCCAACCGAUGUGAUGCAGUCAUGCAGAUGGUGUUAUUGAUGUUUGGAAUCCAUGGUAGCAUGGCGGGUUACUGUGGGCGAGUAGCAUGAAUAUGGGAUAGAAGAGUAGAUACCUAGGGAGGUAAUUACAGUUACAGGAGAAACUUACGGAAAGUUGACAAGUAAUCGAAUUUUGUUUUUUUUAGAUUAAAGAAAAAUUGAAGAAUUUAGGCGUUGCGUAGAUCUUGUUUAAAGAAGCUCAAAUAGCUAAGAAGGGAUCAAUGAAGAAGAAAGGGAAAAACCCUUAAAGAUAGGGUAGUGGAGUGUUUGGUGGUUUGAUGAGAUUUGUGUUUUUUUUUUCUUCGUGCUGAUCUUUUGAUGUAAUAGCUUCUUGCAAAUCUCUAGAAAACCGAUUUACCAUAGUCACAUGGUUCGCGGUACAGGAAUGUGGUACAGGAUCGCAAUUCGCUAGGUCCCUAAAAUCCGGUACGAAGGGGGUUAGGGCUCAUUUCGGAUCGUUUCGGUACGAUGUACCAUAUCAUGCG